RNAcentral lists this long non-coding RNA (2493 nucleotides) under Phoenix dactylifera (date palm). RNAcentral describes it as "long non-coding RNA (PDAC_LNC001415)". Lineage: Eukaryota; Viridiplantae; Streptophyta; Magnoliopsida; Arecales; Arecaceae. The record is from RNAcentral.
CCAAGCGAUCGACAAGAAUUUGGGAAGGGAGUAGACAAGAAUAAGCUAGAUGAAUUAACCUCUGCAGCAAAAAAAAAUCUAAAAUAAUAAACUAAUCUAAGAAAAAAGAAAAAGAAUAAUAAACUUCCUUGAAUGAAUGAGCUUUCAGCCUUCUAGGCUUCAGGGCUCCUGCAUGGGCCCAUUCUCUGCCAAACAGAAUAAGAUUUUAAUAUGGCCCUUCUUGGGAGUCAAGCUAUCCGUGCUCUAGGUGAGACCCUUGGGGCUUGCUAUGCAUGGUUUGAGCCUUGGGGAGUGGGGGUUUAUUUAUAGGUACCUGGGGUUUGUUAGACUAUGUUCAUAUCUGAUGUGACGCUGAAAAAGAGCAAAACAUAUAUUUGGAUUGAUUCUAAAGUCCAAAGAAGACUUCAAAAAACCUAAAACACCUCUAGAAACCAGUCCAAGUCACUUUGGGUCACUUCUCAUUGGCUCAUUCGAACUAGAGACUAUUUGACAAAAAUACUGCUAUUCUCUGCAAUUCUAGUUAAAUGACCAAAACUCUCUCCCCGGAACUCAGAAUUGAGUUCCAUAAAAUGUGAUGGACUUCUCCCUUGAUGUUCUUUCCAACAAAUAUCACUAUGCCGAUAUUUAGAUUCGUAAAAAAAUUGAAAAAUUUGGAAGUAUAUUGUAAGUGUCAAGUGAACCGGUUUGGUCAGGGCAUGUGAAUCGGUGUCCAAAAAGGAGCCUACGAAAUCCCUAUUGAUGCCAUGAUAAGGAUUAUGGAGUAAAUGAGUAUUUUGAGUGCAUUUUGAUAGAAAAUUGGGGCAUUAUAACUAGCAGAUAUUUAGAUUACUUGGUGACAUGGCCCAAAGUGGAGUAUCUAAAAGUCGAACCUAGAAUAUUUAAAACAGAUGACGUUUACAAUCAUAAUAUUUUUUUUCAAUAUAGCAUGUGCCAAACACUAGUACUAAACAACUAUGCUAUCCAUGCACAACCACCAUUUAGGGGUCAUGUGGACCAUAGAUUGGUUCUUUCUCUACUCAUUAAACAUAGCAUCUGGUGCUCAAAACUUCCUAAACAAUUGGCAGUCUGCACAGGGUUGAUCCUGUUAAUAAUUUUGGAUAUGCUUAAACUAGACCCACUAAUGGAAUCCCCAAGAACAAGUGCAAAUUGAUCACAUGCCAAGUAGCUUUACAAUCCUGCAAAUGAUAAGUGAAGUUGCACACAAAUUGAUCAGGUGCCUUGUACUUAAGCACCACAUGGUGCUGUAAUGAAGCUUAGCAUGGUAGUUUCGGACCAAAACUACUAGAGGGGCCAGAGCAUUUUUUAAAAUAAGGCAUGGGGCCAAUCUGCAAAAUCCCUCAAUUAGAAAUAAUUAUGAAAUUAUUUUGAUUUUUAAUUAUUGUUUCUUGAACUAAUUAUUUAUAGAAAGAUAUUUUAAAAACAAAUAUAUUGAAAAUAUAGGUUUAGUCUUAAAUGAUUAAACAACAAUGCAUUUUUUAUAAAUUUAUGUUCAUCAUAUAUUUUUAAUUAAUUGAAAAUAUAUAUGUUUAAAACUAUUGUUAAGUUACCCAAAAAAAAAAGAUAAAUUAAUGCACCAAAAAAAAGGUGAAUGCUCUAAGAAAGUGCAUACAAUGAACUUUGCAUUUCAGGCCAUGCUAAAUAAAUUUGAAAAAUUAAAAAAUUGUUAAAAAGUUUGGAUAAGCUAGUGUCUAGCACAUAUCAUUGAUGAUAGUAGCAAUUACUUGAAUGAUUUUGGAUUCUUGGUGAUACUAUUGUUAAAUGAUAUUAUAAAUAUAUUUUCUAUUUAUUUAUAUUUUAAUUACUUACUCUAACACAUCUUUUAAAUGCAUUUUUAAUUGCAAGUUAUGUGAUGUUGUGGGAUAUUUAUGCAUGUUAAUGACUUAAACAAACAAAAAAAACCUUGAGUAGGGCACCACUCAUUAAUCCAGCUUUUUUCUUCUACAGAAACAUAGCAUUUAGAUAAGAAAAUAUUACAAGGCCCAAAACCAAAGCUUGUAGGCUAAUAAAAUUCACACAAAUGUAGUGUACUCCUGUAUCUCUGCAUAAACAAUUACCCAUCAAUACCUUUUGCUGUCGCGACCCUCGACAUGGCAUGUACCAUGCCCAUGGGUAGUUGAUAACUUGAUAUGCUACCACACCUCGAUAUUUCAAACCUUUGGUCCGAUACCGAGGCAGAUCAUGUUAUGAUAAAGCAUCAAGAGCAUCCAUCAUUGUCAAUCAUGUGUUACCAUUUGCUUGAAUCAUAUUGAUGACCCUAAAUUCAUAUGCUUCAAAUGCUUUUACAUUGAAAUUGACCAUGCAGUCUUGUGUAUUGAUUUUGUAAGGUGCUUAUUAGCUUAAGACCUGGCAACAAUUUAGUCUAUACAAUGUUCCCAGACUUGCAAACAUCCAUCAAUCAAAUAGGAAACACUGGAUUUAAUUGUAUGGACUAUGGAGUCUAUAUUUUGACUCUUUGGUAGAUUAUGGAAACAUACAUGAAAGAAAGCAUUGGAC